RNAcentral lists this transfer RNA (76 nucleotides) under Gallionellales bacterium RIFCSPHIGHO2_02_FULL_57_16. RNAcentral's name for it is "tRNA-Lys". It matches the Rfam family "tRNA". From Rfam's summary of the family: Transfer RNA (tRNA) molecules are approximately 80 nucleotides in length. The record is from RNAcentral. Lineage: Bacteria; Pseudomonadati; Pseudomonadota; Betaproteobacteria; Nitrosomonadales. RNAcentral also lists the same sequence under 6 other names.
GGGUCGUUAGCUCAGCCGGUAGAGCAGCGGACUUUUAAUCCGUUGGUCGGCAGUUCGAAUCUGCCACGACCCACCA